Molecule: ribosomal RNA, 483 nt
Filed under: uncultured bacterium
Lineage: Bacteria
Description: partial 16S ribosomal RNA
Rfam family: Bacterial small subunit ribosomal RNA
Source: RNAcentral
GACGAACGCUGGCGGCGUGCUUAACACAUGCAAGUCGAAUGCUGAAGCUCAGCUUUUGUUGGGUGGAUGAGUGGCGAACGGGUGAGUAACACGUGAGUAACCUGCCCCCUUCUUUGGGAUAACGCCCGGAAACGGGUGCUAAUACUGGAUAUUCACUGGUCUUCGCAUGGGGGUUGGUGGAAAGGGUUUUUCUGGUGGGGGAUGGGCUCGCGGCCUAUCAGCUUGUUGGUGGGGUGAUGGCCUACCAAGGCUUUGACGGGUAGCCGGCCUGAGAGGGUGACCGGUCACAUUGGGACUGAGAUACGGCCCAGACUCCUACGGGAGGCAGCAGUGGGGAAUAUUGCACAAUGGGCGCAAGCCUGAUGCAGCGACGCCGCGUGAGGGAUGGAGGCCUUCGGGUUGUGAACCUCUUUCGCUCAUGGUCAAGCCGCAACAAUGGUUGUGGUGAGGGUAGUGGGUAAAGAAGCGCCGGCUAACUACGUG